GUUUUUUCUGCAGAAAGAAGGAAAGCCUCUGUAAAGAUCCGUGGCUACUUGGAAUAAAUCAGCUGGUUUUAGUUAGACAGAUGUCAUAUAAAUAGACCUAUUCAUUCAAGUUAUUGUAUGUCUUCAUAUUAUAAACCAUAAAUUGAUAUACCAUUUGAAAAUUACAAAUGAGAUGUUGUGUUAAUAAAGUAAUAGAAUGUAAAGUACUCCAAGCAACACUGUGUGUACGCUUAUCAAACAAACAGAAGUAUAGUGCUUCUUUUCAAGCUGCAUAUUAGAAAUUUCAGUGCUUUUUUUAUAAAAGCCCUUGCAAAGAAGAAAUUGUUUCCAAUCAAUUGGGAAAGCGUGCAAUCGAUAUAUAUUCAGUGAUUGGAUUCAGUUACAACAAAAUGUAACAGAAAAUCUAGAAAAUACUAACAUAAGCCCUUGAAAGUAAAAAACUACACGAUGCUGCAGUAUGCAAACCAUUCACAAAGUGCAUACUGCUAAUAUCCCAUUAAGGUGAGUUUGUUUUCUACAGAUAUUCUAAAAAGCAUUGUUUUCAGUGAUUUUCCUGGGCAUGUUUUUCAUCCAAUGUUCCAUAUCCAAUAUUCCAACCAUUUUUAAAAUCGCUUUAACUGCCAUGAAAAUAUUCUAAGUGCUAAUAUAGUUCAAAUACUAAGUGCCUAUAGUAUUCCAAAACAUUUUUGUUGGAAUUCCUUUAAAUGCAUUUUUCCAUUGAGAUCUGGUUAAUUCAGCUUGCUUAUAUUUCCUUUGUUUUGAUAAUAUAUUUCCUUUGUCUGAUGGCUUUGAAUCGUCUAUGCCACUAGCUUGGGUCACAAAAGAUGACUAGAAAUGCGUUAAUUGAUGAGCGCGAGCGAUCCAAUGCUUGUAUGGUUGGGUUUGCAAGAGUGCUAACAGGAUCACGAGUAAUCACUUGCAUCAAAUGAAAAGGCCGGCAACAAAGAGGCACACAUGGCUAUGCUAUGAAAUAGAAGUGGCAUAAUGGAAACCGCUUUAUGUUA
Molecule: non-coding RNA, 1004 nt
Organism: Rhopilema esculentum
Lineage: Eukaryota; Metazoa; Cnidaria; Scyphozoa; Rhizostomeae; Rhizostomatidae
Source: RefSeq, a predicted model, not a curated record